This is a long non-coding RNA of Tyto alba (common barn owl), 751 nucleotides long. RefSeq lists it as uncharacterized. The record is from RefSeq and is a predicted model, not a curated record. The transcript has 5 exons. Lineage: Eukaryota; Metazoa; Chordata; Aves; Strigiformes; Tytonidae.
GCGUACGCUUUGGGGGGAGGCGCGUGGUUUUCUUUUUAACAACAGGCUGUAGUUGGAUGCCGGCUAGUAUCCCUAGCCGGAAGUGACACCUCCGGAUUUGUUAAGCAUCGGGGUGACUCGCCUAACUGCUUUCACAUGCAGAUCGAUGAGACGCGCACCGAAGAGUGACGGAGGAGGCGAGCGGAGGGCUGUGAGAAGAUGGAGAGCCACAAGCAAAGUAGGAUUUUGUCACCGGAGGCAGCUUGGGCGAGGUGGCACGCGAGCCUUGACGUGACAACUGGAACCAGCAGCGGCAGGGCAGGUGAAGGGCCGAGUUUUUUGCAGGUGCCGCAGAUGGCCGCGGAGGGGCCGAGCCGCACGCAGACCGACAGUGUGAGAAGGUGCUUUGGGAGCCGCCUUUGGGAUCGGAUGAGCGUUUGAAGCGAGCCGGGGUAGUCGCAAGGAGGAUCGUGGGUGACUCGUUGGAAGCGCAAGGGUAACUUUGUCUCUCGGUAUCUUAGGCGACGACGGCUGCAGCAUCUGACUCUGCAAAGGGCCGGUGAGCGGAACCCCGCGACGCUUCUGAGUACAGGCGGGUGUCGUGGAAGAGGUAGGCACGGAGCAGCGCGAUGCCGACGGCCGGUUGUGUUUUCUCCCGUUGGUGUUUUCUUGCAGGUGAAGAGGAAGGCGGCAACUGCAGGAACGUGCUAGUUAGCCGCCGCGCUGCUUUCGUCGAGGACGGAAUCGGACCUCCGGCCCUCUGAAAGCUAAG